CCUACGGGUGGCAGCAGUGAGGAAUAUUGGUCAAUGGCCGGAAGCCUGAACCAGCCAAGCCGCGUGAAGGACGAAGGUGCCAAGCAUUGUAAACUUCUUUUGUCAAGGGACAAAAUCAGGCUCGAGAGCCUGACCGAGGGUACUUGAAGAAAAAGCAUCGGCUAACUCCGUGCCAGCCGCCGCGGUAAUACGGAGGAUGCGUGCGUUAUCCGGAUUUAUUGGGUUUAAAGGGUGGGGAGGGUGGCUGUUAAGUCAGCGGUAAAAGCCCGGGGCUCAACCCCGGCGAGCCGUUGAAACUGGCUGUCUUGAGAUGUCGAGAGGUAUGCGGAAUGCGCGGUGUAGCGGUGAAAUGCUUAGAUAUUGCGCAGAACUCCGAUUGCGAAGGCAGCAUACCGGAGGCGAUCUGACGCUGAGGCACGAAAGCGUGGGUAUCGAACAGGAUUAGAUACCCGUGUAGUC
Molecule: ribosomal RNA, 459 nt
Filed under: uncultured bacterium
Lineage: Bacteria
Description: partial 16S ribosomal RNA
Rfam family: Bacterial small subunit ribosomal RNA
Source: RNAcentral